AGACGUCUACAUUAGAUACCCCUGUAGUCCUAGCCGUAAACGAUACUCGCUAGGUGUCGGCCACGGUGCGACCGUUGUCGGUGCCGUAGGGAAGCCGUGAAGCGAGCCACCUGGGAAGUACGGCCGCAAGGCUGAAACUUAAAGGAAUUGGCGGGGGAGCACCACAACGGGUGGAGCUUGCGGUUUAAUUGGAUUCAACGCCGGAAAUCUUACCGGGACCGACAGCAACAUGAAGGCCAGGCUGAAGACUUUGCCGGAUUAGCUG
Molecule: ribosomal RNA, 265 nt
Filed under: uncultured archaeon
Lineage: Archaea
Description: partial 16S ribosomal RNA
Rfam family: Archaeal small subunit ribosomal RNA
Source: RNAcentral